This 365-nucleotide long non-coding RNA is filed under the name Gossypium raimondii (Peruvian cotton). RNAcentral's name for it is "long non-coding RNA (GRAI_LNC004011)". Lineage: Eukaryota; Viridiplantae; Streptophyta; Magnoliopsida; Malvales; Malvaceae. The record is from RNAcentral.
CUCGGCUCCGGGCACUUAGCUCCUUAUGGUUAGCCCGACCUAGAAACUGAUAUUAUUUUAUUUCAUGAAAGCUCAACUUGACUGCAUUAAUGCUUUGCACAGAGUGUUCUCCCUAUUUCACCUUUUGGUACCCAUUGACGAUUCUUGGAUGGUGAAGCAUAAUGUGAAAUGUAAAUUUUGGUUGCUGUGGUUUACACUCACUGGCCUAUGGAAAUGGCAAUAAUUUAGACGAUUGCUGUAUAUUAAGUAGGAUCUGAGCAAAAUGUGUUUGUGAUUGUGUGUAGUAAUCUCACAUGUGAGGCAAAUCUUCCAAAACUUUGACCAUCUUGUAAUCACCUUAAGUGCAAUGCUAACUUAGAUAGUUC